UACGUAGGUGGCAAGCGUUGUCCGGAUUCACUGGGUGUAAAGGGCGUGCAGCCGGGAAGACAAGUCAGAUGUGAAAUCCCGCGGCUCAACCGCGGAACUGCAUUUGAAACUGUUUUUCUUGAGUACCGGAGAGGUCAUCGGAAUUCCUUGUGUAGCGGUGAAAUGCGUAGAUAUUAGGAGGAACACCAGUGGCGAAGGCGGCUUACUGGACUGUAACUGACGUUGAGGCUCGAAAGCGUGGGGAGCAAACAGG
Molecule: ribosomal RNA, 253 nt
Filed under: uncultured bacterium
Lineage: Bacteria
Description: partial 16S ribosomal RNA
Rfam family: Bacterial small subunit ribosomal RNA
Source: RNAcentral